Acanthosepion pharaonis is the source of this 100-nucleotide non-coding RNA. The record is from the annotation of a GenBank genome assembly. NCBI's taxonomy places the organism in Eukaryota, Metazoa, Mollusca, Cephalopoda, Sepiida, Sepiidae.
GUUGAAACACCAGUUCCCGUACGAUCAUCGAAGUUAAGCAACGUCGAGCCUGAUCAGUACCUACCAGAUGGGUGACCGCUUGGGAAUACCAGGUACAGUA